RNAcentral lists this non-coding RNA (45 nucleotides) under Schistosoma curassoni. The record is from RNAcentral. Lineage: Eukaryota; Metazoa; Platyhelminthes; Trematoda; Strigeidida; Schistosomatidae.
AUCAAGCUGACAAGUCUCAAAUAGGACGAAGCGCGCGUCCUGGAU